This is a long non-coding RNA of Gossypium arboreum, 2279 nucleotides long. RefSeq lists it as uncharacterized. The record is from RefSeq and is a predicted model, not a curated record. Lineage: Eukaryota; Viridiplantae; Streptophyta; Magnoliopsida; Malvales; Malvaceae. The transcript has 2 exons.
CAAUAAAAUUAUUUUCAAACCAGGUUUUUUCCGACAAGCACUAGGUUUUUUCAUCCAGCUGUCGCAAUCAGACAGAACAAGUUUACCAUUCGGCCUUUAUAGGAUGCUGAAGGCAACCAACUCACUUCAUUUGCCCAACUGUCUGUUGAGGUUGUGGUUUAAUUCAAGGGCUUGUUGGGUGAGGUUGAUCCUUUUGUUUCCUAUCCUAAUCAACUUUUUUCUGAGCUUCUGCAGCAACCUUUGCCUGAUCAUGCGCAAUAGGAACUUGUCAAACCUAUUAUUGAUAAAGAAAUUAAAACAACUUUUUUUCAGUCAGGGGAAUGACUAAUCCUCUGGCUCUGAUGGCUUUACAACUAAGUUUAGGUCUUCCUAGAGUAUUGUUGGGCUAGAUGUUCUUGUAGUAGUUCGUUAUUUUUUUCUCAACUUUAAGAUGCUCCCUGCUCUUAAUACCACUGCUAUUGCCCUUGUUCCCAAAUGUGUUCAACCUACUCAUUUUAAGCAAUUUAUGCCAAUUUCGUGCUGUAAUACAAUUUAAAAAGGUAUAUCUAAGAUCCUGGCUAAUUGACUUUAUUUUUUUCUUAAAAUUAUCUCUCUGAGCCAGUCUGCCAUUUUACAAGAGGUAGAAGUAUAGUUGACAACACCCUUUUGGCUCAUGAGCUAAUGAGGGGUUAUGGUAGAAAGAACAUAAUACCUCAUUGUGCCCUCAAGAUUGACUUGCAAAAGGCAUUUGAUUCAGUCAAUUAGUGCUUUCUUCUCUCGGUUUUGAAGGUUUUGAAAUUCCCAGAAACUUUUUAAGAAUUGGAUUGAGGUAUGCAUCACUUCACUUCACUUUUUUAUUUCACUCAAUGGCAGUUUGGUGGGCUACUUUAAAGGGGCAAAAGGAUUGCAGCAAGGAGAUCCUCUUUCCCAUUUCCUUUUUGUUAUUGCAAUAGGAAUGUUGUCUAGGCUAUUGGAGAUUGCUGCUCGCCAUGGUAUCUUAAAGUUUCAACCUAAAUGUAGCAGAGUUAAACUUACUCAUUUUUUUUUUUGCAAAUGAUCUUCUAAUAUUUGUGAAAGGAUGUGUGGACUCUGUUGUGAGGGUAAGGUGCCUUUUGGAUGAAUCCUACUCCAUUUCUGGUCUUCAGCUUAAUGCCUCCAAGAGUGAUUUUUUUUUUUUUUUUGCAAGGGUAUCCAAUGAGGAAGUGUCUCACAUUUUUGAAUAUUACUGGUUUUAAGUCUGAAACUCUCCCUAUUCGUUAUCUUGGAGUUUCUUUGGUUUCUAGAGGGCUCUCUUGUGCUGAUUGUAAGCCGUUUGUAGAGAAGAUUAAGGCUAAAAUUCUUCAAUGGUCUACUAUGCAUCUCAGUUAUGCUAACAGACUUCAAUUGAUAAAGGCAGUAUUGUUCAGUGUGUAGGCCAAUUGGAGUAGGCAAUUCUUAUUGCCAAAGGUUAUUCUUCAACAAGUGGACCAAUUGUGCUCUAGGUUCUUAUGGAAAGGUAGUAGCUCUUCUGCUUCUGGUGCUAAAGUCAAAUGGGAUAUCUUAUGUUUGCUAAAGUCUGAGGGAAGGCUUGGCUUGAAGAAACUUGUUGGAUGGGUUGCUUUUGAGCCUUGCUUACUUCUGAAGGCUCCUUAUGGGUUGUUUGGGUCCAAAAAUAUGUUUUAAAAUGUGGUUCCUAUUGGUCUGUUACUGCCAACUCAACUAGCAGCUGGAAUUGGAGAAGAUUUUUUAAGCUUAAGGAUGUUGUAGUUAGUUCUUCCAGAAGCUUUCCGAUUGGGACAGCAGUGUGGACUCAUAAGCUUUGGGAGGACCUUUAGGUUAAAGCUGCAAAGGUCUCUUAGUAUAAACUCCUUUGGUUCCUUCUCCAUGUGUUUAAACACUCUACAAUUGCUUGGAUGACAAUCUUAAACACACUUUCCACUCGUGACAGAUUGUUUAGUCAUGCAUCAAGAGGUCUAUUGGUACGUGGCUUCAAGAAUUUAACUGGGCAACUUCUUGUUUGAAAAGUAAGUCGUUCCUUCUCUGCCUGCUCAAGCUGGUAUGGAAAGCAGUUGUGUACUUUUUUUGGUGUGAAAGGAAUAGUAGGCUAUUUGGGAAUUCUUCUAAUUCUGUUGAAGUUUUGUUAGAGAAAGUUAAAGAUGUUGUGCUGUUUCGUCUUAGUGGUAGAUGUCCUAUUGAUUCAAACCCUAUCAAUAAUCGAUUAUGUUUAGAAUGAAGUUCGAGGAAUGUAUAGGUUAGGUUUCUGAUUUUCGUUGUUGUAAUCUAUUGUGUUUCUUGAGUUUUAUUAGGUUUUUACUGUACAA